RNAcentral lists this ribosomal RNA (396 nucleotides) under uncultured Pseudomonas sp. RNAcentral describes it as "bacterial SSU rRNA". It matches the Rfam family "Bacterial small subunit ribosomal RNA", at positions 958 to 1356 of the family's 1533-position model. Lineage: Bacteria; Pseudomonadati; Pseudomonadota; Gammaproteobacteria; Pseudomonadales; Pseudomonadaceae. The record is from RNAcentral.
AACGCGAAGAACCUUACCAGGCCUUGACAUGCAGAGAACUUUCCAGAGAUGGAUUGGUGCCCUCGGGAACUCUGACACAGGUGCUGCAUGGCUGUCGUCAGCUCGUGUCGUGAGAUGUUGGGUUAAGUCCCGUAACGAGCGCAACCCUUGUCCUUAGUUACCAGCACCUCGGGUGGGCACUCUAAGGAGACUGCCGGUGACAAACCGGAGGAAGGUGGGGAUAACGUCAAGUCAUCAUGGCCCUUACGGCCAGGGCUACACACGUGCUACAAUGGUCGGUACAAAGGGUUGCCAAGCCGCGAGGUGGAGCUAAUCCCAUAAAACCGAUGUAGUCCGGAUCGCAGUCUGCAACUCGACUGCGUGAAGUCGGAAUCGCUAGUAAUCGGAAUCAGAAUG